RNAcentral lists this ribosomal RNA (253 nucleotides) under uncultured bacterium. RNAcentral describes it as "partial 16S ribosomal RNA". It matches the Rfam family "Bacterial small subunit ribosomal RNA", at positions 524 to 776 of the family's 1533-position model. The record is from RNAcentral.
UACGGAGGUGGCAAGCGUUGUCCGGAAUUAUUGGGCGUAAAGCGCGCGCAGGCGGUUCCUUAAGUCUGAUGUGAAAGCCCACGGCUCAACCGUGGAGGGUCAUUGGAAACUGGGGGACUUGAGUGCAGAUGAGGAGAGCGGAAUUCCACGUGUAGCGGUGAAAUGCGUAGAGAUGUGGAGGAACACCAGUGGCGAAGGCGGCUCUCUGGUCUGUAACUGACGCUGAGGGGCGAAAGCGUGGGGAGCAAACAGG